RNAcentral lists this ribosomal RNA (439 nucleotides) under uncultured bacterium. Its description in RNAcentral is "partial 16S ribosomal RNA". It matches the Rfam family "Bacterial small subunit ribosomal RNA", at positions 339 to 795 of the family's 1533-position model. The record is from RNAcentral.
CUACGGGAUGCAGCAGUGGGGAAUACUGCACAAUGGAGGAAACUCUGAUGCAGCAACGCCGCGUGGAGGAUGACACUUUUCGGAGCGUAAACUCCUUUUAUAUAGGAAGAAGAUGACGGUACUAUAUGAAUAAGCGCCGGCUAACUCCGUGCCAGCAGCCGCGGUAAUACGGAGGGCGCAAGCGUUACUCGGAAUCACUGGGCGUUAAGAGCGUGUAGGCGGAUUAAAAAGUCAGAAGUGAAAUCCUAUAGCUUAACUAUAGAACUGCUUCUGAAACUCUUAAUCUAGAAUAUGGGAGAGGUAGAUGGAAUUUCUGGUGUAGGGGUAAAAUCCGUAGAGAUCAGAAGGAAUACCGAUUGCGAAGGCGAUCUACUAGAACAUUAUUGACGCUGAGACGCGAAAGCGUGGGGAGCAAACAGGAUUAGAUACCCGCGUAGUC